UGCCGUUCAUUCUCGAAAGAUGAGAACAUUCUCGAAGCAUUACAAAAUACACAUGGAGCAAAUGGCUAAUAUUAAUUUUAUAUUAUAUUAUUAUAUUGUGGGGACAGGAUCACCGUAUCCAUCUAAUGGACAAUAUCCAUAUGUUAAAUGUAUCUGACUCAGAUUCAGGCUCGGACAUGGACAUAAUGUCAUAGGAUAUUCAAGGGAUAC
RNAcentral lists this long non-coding RNA (210 nucleotides) under Elaeis guineensis (African oil palm). RNAcentral describes it as "long non-coding RNA (EGUI_LNC006424)". The record is from RNAcentral. Lineage: Eukaryota; Viridiplantae; Streptophyta; Magnoliopsida; Arecales; Arecaceae.